AGAUUGAACGCUGGCGGAAUGCUUUACACAUGCAAGUCGAACGGCAGCACGGGGGCAACCCUGGUGGCGAGUGGCGAACGGGUGAGUAAUACAUCGGAACGUGCCCAGUCGUGGGGGAUAACGUAGCGAAAGCUACGCUAAUACCGCAUACGAACUCUGGUUGAAAGCGGGGGACUCGCAAGAGCCUCGCGCGAUUGGAGCGGCCGAUGGCAGAUUAGGUAGUUGGUGGGGUAAAGGCUCACCAAGCCUGCGAUCUGUAGCUGGUCUGAGAGGACGACCAGCCACACUGGGACUGA
RNAcentral lists this ribosomal RNA (296 nucleotides) under uncultured soil bacterium. RNAcentral describes it as "partial 16S ribosomal RNA". It matches the Rfam family "Bacterial small subunit ribosomal RNA", at positions 26 to 322 of the family's 1533-position model. The record is from RNAcentral.